UACGGAGGGUGCAAGCGUUAUCCGGAUUUACUGGGUUUAAAGGGUGUGUAGGCGGACUUUUAAGUCAGCGGUGAAAUCUCCGGGCUCAACCCGGAAACUGCCAUUGAUACUAUUAGUCUUGAAUCUUGUUGAGGUGGGCGGAACGGGUCAUGUAGCGGUGAAAUGCAUAGAUAUGACCCGGAACACCGAUUGCGAAGGCAGCCCACUAAGCAAGUAUUGACGCUGAGGCACGAAAGCGUGGGGAU
This 245-nucleotide ribosomal RNA is filed under the name uncultured Chitinophaga sp. Its description in RNAcentral is "partial 16S ribosomal RNA". It matches the Rfam family "Bacterial small subunit ribosomal RNA", at positions 524 to 768 of the family's 1533-position model. Lineage: Bacteria; Pseudomonadati; Bacteroidota; Chitinophagia; Chitinophagales; Chitinophagaceae. The record is from RNAcentral.